GUCGGCGACCAUACCACGUUGAAAGCACCGGUUCUCGUCCGAUCACCCAAGUUAAGCACCGUUGGGCCCAGUUAGUACUUGCAUGGGUGACCGGCUGGGAAUACCUGGUGUUGCCGGCU
Trichobilharzia regenti is the source of this 119-nucleotide non-coding RNA. The record is from Rfam. NCBI's taxonomy places the organism in Eukaryota, Metazoa, Platyhelminthes, Trematoda, Strigeidida, Schistosomatidae.